RNAcentral lists this ribosomal RNA (505 nucleotides) under uncultured Glomus. Its description in RNAcentral is "SSU rRNA". It matches the Rfam family "Eukaryotic small subunit ribosomal RNA", at positions 569 to 1076 of the family's 1831-position model. Lineage: Eukaryota; Fungi; Glomeromycota; Glomeromycetes; Glomerales; Glomeraceae. The record is from RNAcentral.
AGCAGCCGCGGUAAUUCCAGCUCCAAUAGCGUAUAUUAAAGUUGUUGCAGUUAAAAAGCUCGUAGUUGAAUUUCGGGAUCAAUACGUCGGUCGUGCCUCUGGUAUGUACUGGUGUUAUUGAUUUCUCCCUUCUGAUGAACCAUGAUGUCAUUCAUUUGGUGUUGUGUGGAGUCAGGACUGUUACUUUGAAAAAAUUAGAGUGUUUAAAGCAGGCUCACGCUUGAAUACAUUAGCAUGGAAUAAUGAAAUAGGACGUUCGAUCCUAUUUUGUUGGUUUCUAGGAUCAACGUAAUGAUUAAUAGGGAUAGUUGGGGGCAUUAGUAUUCAAUUGUCAGAGGUGAAAUUCUUGGAUUUAUUGAAGACUAACUACUGCGAAAGCAUUUGCCAAGGAUGUUUUCAUUAAUCAAGAACGAAAGUUAGGGGAUCGAAGACGAUCAGAUACCGUCGUAGUCUUAACCAUAAACUAUGCCGACUAGGGAUCGGAUGAUGUUAAUUUUUAAUGACU